UCAGCUCGUGUCGUGAGAUGUUGGGUUAAGUCCGCAACGAGCGCAACCCUUAUCUUUAAUUGCCAGCAUUCAGUUGGGCACUUUAAAGAGACUGCCGGUGUUAAACCGGAGGAAGGUGGGGAUGACGUCAAGUCCUCAUGGCCUUUAUGCUUAGGGCUACACACGUGCUACAAUGGGUGGUACAAAGAGAAGCCAACUCGCGAGAGCGCGCCAAUCUCAAAAAAGCCAUCCUCAGUUCGGAUUGGAGUCUGCAACUCGACUCCAUGAAGUUGGAAUCGCUAGUAAUCGCGGAUCAGCAUGCCGCGGUGAAUACGUUCCCGGGCCUU
RNAcentral lists this ribosomal RNA (326 nucleotides) under uncultured Smithella sp. RNAcentral's name for it is "bacterial SSU rRNA". It matches the Rfam family "Bacterial small subunit ribosomal RNA", at positions 1055 to 1382 of the family's 1533-position model. Lineage: Bacteria; Pseudomonadati; Thermodesulfobacteriota; Syntrophia; Syntrophales; Smithellaceae. The record is from RNAcentral.